AGCUCCAAUAGCGUAUAUUAAAGUUGCUGCAGUUAAAAAGCUCGUAGUUGGAUCUCGGGUUCGGGUCGGCGGUCCGCCCCUCAGGGGUUUCGCGACUGCUCGGUUUUUCUCCCGAUCCUACAUGCCGGUUCAUUCAUCUCCCCGUCGGUGCUCUUGGUUGAGUGCCCGGGGCGGCCGGGACGUUUACUUUGAAAAAAUUAGAGUGUUCAAAGCAGGCCCUUUGCGAGCCUGAAUAAUGGUGCAUGGAAUAAUGGAAGAGGACCUCGGUUCUAUUUUGUUGGUUUUCGAGAGAUCGAGGUAAUGAUUAAGAGGGACGGCCGGGGGCAUUUGUAUUGCGGCGUUAGAGGUGAAAUUCUUGGAUCGUCGCAAGACAAACAGCAGCGAAAGCAUUUGCCAAGAAUGUUUUCAUUA
This 411-nucleotide ribosomal RNA is filed under the name Notomastus sp. RNAcentral's name for it is "partial small subunit ribosomal RNA". It matches the Rfam family "Eukaryotic small subunit ribosomal RNA", at positions 587 to 975 of the family's 1831-position model. Lineage: Eukaryota; Metazoa; Annelida; Polychaeta; Capitellidae. The record is from RNAcentral.